GAGAGAGCGGGACGUCCGGCUUCUCACUGGGAACCCUCGUGCCGUCAGCAACCAAAGAGAGAAUUAACUAUGGGUGAUGUUGAGAAAGGCAAGAAGAUUUUUGUUCAGAAGUGUGCCCAGUGCCACACUGUGGAAAAGGGAGGCAAGCACAAGAUUGGGCCAAAUCUCCAUGGUCUCUUUGGGCGGAAGACAGGUCAGGCUGCUGGAUUCUCUUACACAGACGCCAAUAAGAACAAAGGCAUCACCUGGGGAGAGGAUACACUGAUGGAGUAUUUGGAGAAUCCCAAGAAGUACAUCCCUGGAACAAAAAUGAUCUUCGCCAGCAUUAAGAAGAAGGGAGAAAGGGCAGACUUGAUAGCUUAUCUCAAAAAAGCCACUAAUGAGUAAUAAUUGGCCACUGUCUUAUUUAUUACAAACCGGAAAUAUCAUAACUUUUUUUAUGUGUACCAUAAUUUAAUUGGUCUCAUACAUCAGAAUUCAGAUCAUGAAAGAGUGACAGAAUAUUUUUGUUGGACAGUCCUGAUUUAACUAAGACUGGCUUGUGGUUAAUUCGGUUUUUUGAAUUUUGAUAGUAAUUCCAAUACAGUAAAUGCUAUCACUGUUUUCCCCUUCUGAAGAUA
RNA transcript from Propithecus coquereli (Coquerel's sifaka), 620 nucleotides. It is a transcript of the gene named cytochrome c, somatic pseudogene, with no coding region annotated. The transcript has a single exon. Lineage: Eukaryota; Metazoa; Chordata; Mammalia; Primates; Indriidae. The record is from RefSeq and is a predicted model, not a curated record.